UGGUUUUUCUUGGCGUUCUUCGCAGUUGG
RNAcentral lists this non-coding RNA (29 nucleotides) under Mus musculus (house mouse). The record is from RNAcentral. Lineage: Eukaryota; Metazoa; Chordata; Mammalia; Rodentia; Muridae.